AGAGUUUGAUCAUGGCUCAGGAUAAACGCUGGCGGCGUGCCUAACACAUGCAAGUUGAGCGACGAACCAGGGCUUGCCCUGGGGCAAAGCAGCGAACGGGUGAGUAACACGUGGGUAACCUGCCCCGAUGACCGGGACAACCCGAGGAAACUCGGGCUAAUACCGGAUGUGCUCGCCGGACACCAGUCCGGCGCGUAAAGGAAGCUUCGGCCUCCGCUUCGGGAGGGGCCCGCGGCCCAUUAGCUAGUUGGUGAGGUAACGGCUCACCAAGGCCGCGAUGGGUAGCUGGUCUGAGAGGACGAUCAGCCACACUGGGACUGAGACACGGCCCAGACUCCUACGGGAGGCAGCAGUGGGGAAUCUUGCGCAAUGCGCGAAAGCGUGACGCAGCAACGCCGCGUGGGGGAAGAAGGCCUUCGGGUUGUAAACCCCUUUCAGGAGGGACGAAGGUUCGGCAGUGAAUAGCUGUCCGGACUGACGGUACCUCCACAAGAAGCCCCGGCUAACUACGUGCCAGCAGCCGCGGUAAUACGUAGGGGGCAAGCGUUGUCCGGAAUCAUUGGGCGUAAAGCGCGCGUAGGCGGCCCGGUAAGUCCGUUGUAAAAGUCAAAGGCUCAACCUUUGAAAGCCGAUGGAUACUGCCGGGCUCGAGUCCGGAAGAGGCGAGUAGAAUUCCUGGUGUAGCGGUGGAAUGCGCAGAUA
This 702-nucleotide ribosomal RNA is filed under the name uncultured bacterium. RNAcentral's name for it is "bacterial SSU rRNA". It matches the Rfam family "Bacterial small subunit ribosomal RNA", at positions 8 to 696 of the family's 1533-position model. The record is from RNAcentral.